This 495-nucleotide ribosomal RNA is filed under the name uncultured bacterium. Its description in RNAcentral is "partial 16S ribosomal RNA". It matches the Rfam family "Bacterial small subunit ribosomal RNA", at positions 28 to 507 of the family's 1533-position model. The record is from RNAcentral.
GAUGAACGCUGGCGGCGUGCCUAAUACAUGCAAGUAGAACGCUGAAGGAGGAGCUUGCUCUUCUGGAUGAGUUGCGAACGGGUGAGUAACGCGUAGGUAACCUGCCUGGUAGCGGGGGAUAACUAUUGGAAACGAUAGCUAAUACCGCAUGACAACAGUUAUUGCAUGAUAACUGUUUAAAAGGGGCAACUGCUCCACUACCAGAUGGACAUGCGUUGUAUUAGCUAGUUGGUGAGGUAACGGCUCACCAAGGCGACGAUACAUAGCCGACCUGAGAGGGUGAUCGGCCACACUGGGACGGUGACACGGCCCAGAGUCCUACGGAAGGCAGCAGUAGGGAAUCUUCGGCAAUGGACGGAAGUCUGACCGAGCAACGCGGCGGGAGUGAAGAAGGAUGUCGGAUCGGAAAGCUCGGUUGUAGGAGAAGAACGAGUGUGAGAGUGGAAAGUUCACACUGUGACGGUAUCUGACCAGAAAGCGACGGCUAACUACGUG